GACGUAGGGCGCGAGCGUUGUCCGGAUUUAUUGGGCGUAAAGAGCGUGUAGGCGGCCUUACAGGUCAGCUGUGAAAACUCGAGGCUCAACCUCGAGACGUCGGUUGAAACCGUAUGGCUAGAGUCCGGAAGAGGAGAGUGGAAUUCCCGGUGUAGCGGUGAAAUGCGUAGAGAUCGGGAGGAACACCAGAGGCGAAGGCGGCGACCUGGACAGCUACUGACACUCAACUACGAAAGCGUGGGGAGCAAACAGG
This 253-nucleotide ribosomal RNA is filed under the name uncultured bacterium. RNAcentral's name for it is "partial 16S ribosomal RNA". It matches the Rfam family "Bacterial small subunit ribosomal RNA", at positions 524 to 776 of the family's 1533-position model. The record is from RNAcentral.